RNAcentral lists this unclassified non-coding RNA (392 nucleotides) under uncultured fungus. Its description in RNAcentral is "sequence contains ITS1". The stretch from base 1 to 105 matches the Rfam family "5.8S ribosomal RNA", at positions 50 to 154 of the family's 154-position model. The record is from RNAcentral. Lineage: Eukaryota; Fungi.
GAAAUGCGAUAAGUAGUGUGAAUUGCAGAAUUCAGUGAAUCAUCGAAUCUUUGAACGCACAUUGCGCCCUCUGGUAUUCCGGAGGGCAUGCCCGUUUCAGAAUCACAAUGUAAUCUCGCGCUUGCCCCGGUGUGCAGACGCCAGGGUCAAGGGUGGAUGGUGGGCCAUUUGUGUGGUGCACACACAAUGGCCUGAAAAGGAUUGCGACCGCUGCCGACGUCCGACAGGGCGCCCUCAAAGUGCAACAGAGAUGAUCUAUUUUCGCUCUGAGGGCCUGUGGACUGAACGCCUGCAGUGCUCGCUCCCCGAGGAAUGCAAGGUUGGGCCCCCGAUUCAGGGGUCCCCUCCGCACACAUGGUCUGAAAUCGGGCAAGAAAACCCGCUGAACUUAA